UACGAAGGGUGCUAGCGUUGUUCGGAAUCACUGGGCGUAAAGCGCACGUAGGCGGCGAUACAAGCUAGAGGUGAAAGCCCAGGGCUUAACCCUGGAAUUGCCUUUAGAACUGUAUCGAUAGAGUCUCGGAGAGGAUGGUGGAAUUUCUAAUGUAGCGGUGAAAUGCGUAGAUAUUAGAAGGAACACCGGUGGCGAAGGCGGCCAUCUGGACGAGUACUGACGCUGAGGUGCGAAAGCGUGGGGAUCAAACAGG
Molecule: ribosomal RNA, 253 nt
Filed under: uncultured bacterium
Lineage: Bacteria
Description: partial 16S ribosomal RNA
Rfam family: Bacterial small subunit ribosomal RNA
Source: RNAcentral